Long non-coding RNA from Lolium perenne, 1648 nucleotides. RefSeq lists it as uncharacterized. NCBI's taxonomy places the organism in Eukaryota, Viridiplantae, Streptophyta, Magnoliopsida, Poales, Poaceae. The record is from RefSeq and is a predicted model, not a curated record.
UUUUUCGAAGGUUGGUCUUGUUCUUGGACCUGAUUUUGUAUGCUGCUUGGUGCUUCCAGUUGGAGAGGAUGCAGUUAUAAAUGGAUAAAAAUAGGGCACAUGGCUUUUAUCCAGCAUUCAACAACCUCCAGGUGGUCCAGGUGUUUGAGCAGGCUGAUGAAUCUGGAGCGAAACGAUGUCAAGAUGUUUUCAUUUUUGCAGCAUCGAGUUAUGCUCUCUUGAUAUCAAACCAAAGUACACAUGUGAAUGGUUUUCACCUAGAACCCAUUUCUUCACCUAGAACCCAUUUCCAUUGAUAUCAAGUAAGUCAAGUUGAAAGAAACGUAGUCUAGAGUAAAAUAGUUAGGCAAGUUGAAAAUAGAAUUUAUUAAAUUCUUAAGUUUUGUUGUGGCCAAUUUCUUGAUUCUCAUAAUCUCCUUUUGUGGAUUAAUGGUUUUGGUUUAGAUAGAAGAGCUCAGAAGGUUUAUUAACUUUUUCCUAAUAAUAUACAUUGGUUUUUCAGAAAUAACAAUCGUGCAAUUAUAUUUUUAUGAUGGUACUCCAUUUUGUAAUUACGAUAUCAGGUGUGAAAUUGAUAACCUUUAAGGGAGCAAGCUUCUUUUGCAAGCACUUUUUGAUUUUGAUGUUUUCCCUGGAUGCAGGUUGUACUCACCAUAGUCUAUCAGCAACUCCCUUUAUCCCCUCUCUUUAUUUCUGUAUUGUUAAAUUAAUCUCGAUUAGGCAUGUUAGCUGUUAUCUAAAUGUUGAUUUUGAUAUUAUGCGGCUUGGGCCAACCUACUGAUGAUGUUUACAUAAAUAUUAAUGCAGUAUUCUGUUCAAGAGUUAUUCUUUCUUUCACAUCUGUUUGUCUCGCCAUCAGGUUCAUUGUCACGUGCUAUAUUAUCAUAGGUCAUCGUCUUCUGCAUGAUUGACUAUAACCAGUUCUGGUCGCUUGCUCAGGUAAGACUAAACAAUCUGCAAGGAGCCUCUUUUUUCACAAAAAAAAAGUUAGCAGAAGUAUGGUUACUACGCAAUUGUGUAUAUUUUUCGAGUUUGAUUAUUAGUGUUAUUCUGAAUGGGCUGCUGAAGACGCGCGGUGCAUCCUUUACCUUUACAUGUUUCUGAUAAUGUGCCAUUUUAACUCCUUUUCUUUACCUACAAAUUCAUCUGAGAGCUGCUCAAGCUUGGAGCUGCUUCUUUCUUAAUCUGGUGAAAAGCUUCAUAGUCAAGGUACAUGCAAAUUUAAGAUCUGUACCAAUCUAGCAAGAAAUUAUCUCUGGUACAUACAGUUCGUUAAAAAUGAGCCUGAAACAUAUAUAUCAACCCUUGUUCUGAAUCAUGUGUUUCAGUUAACAGUAGCAGUGCAUCAGUUUGCUUAAUUGUGUAAGUGUACUACCAUUUUCUAGCCCAUCACAGUGUAGCAAGUGAACUACCAUUUUCUAGCCCAUCACAGUGUAGUUUUUGUCUCUGGCGUUCAACAGAACUAGAAAUGAGAUGGUCUGCUCAAAAUGCUGAUUCGUAGCAUUAGAUAGGAAACAUCAGUGCGUCAUUAAAUUAAUAUUGAUUAUAUGUCUUUAAAGUUUUAAUGACAGUAAGUUCAAUUGCCAAGUCCAGUAAAUUAGACCCACUUAGGUUUGCUAGAGUCCUUAUAAAUAUUCUCUAAUUUAUU